This 436-nucleotide ribosomal RNA is filed under the name uncultured bacterium. RNAcentral's name for it is "partial 16S ribosomal RNA". It matches the Rfam family "Bacterial small subunit ribosomal RNA", at positions 29 to 507 of the family's 1533-position model. The record is from RNAcentral.
AACGAACGCUGGCGGCAUGCCUAACACAUGCAAGUCGAACGAGAUCCUUCGGGGUCUAGUGGCGCACGGGUGCGUAACGCGUGGGAAUCUGCCCUUAGGUUCGGAAUAACAGUUAGAAAUGACCGCUAAUACCGGAUGAUGACGUUAAGUCCAAAGAUUUAUCGCCUGAGGAUGAGCCCGCGUAGGAUUAGCUAGUUGGUGUGGUAAAGGCGCACCAAGGCGACGAUCCAUAGCUGGUCUGAGAGGAUGAUCAGCCACACUGGGACUGAGACACGGCCCAGACUCCUACGGGAGGCAGCAGUGGGGAAUAUUGGACAAUGGGCGCAAGCCUGAUCCAGCAAUGCCGCGUGAGUGAUGAAGGCCUUAGGGUUGUAAAGCUCUUUUACCCGAGAUGAUAAUGACAGUAUCGGGAGAAUAAGCCCCGGCUAACUCCGUG